GGAGUUUGGACCGUGUCUCAGUUCCAAUGUGGGGGACCUUCCUCUCAGAACCCCUACUGAUCGCGGGCUCGGUGGGCCGUUACCCCGCCGACAACCUAAUCAGACGCAUCCCCAUCCCAUAGCGAUCAAUCUUUGCUUGACGUUAGAUGUCUGCUGUCAAGAACAUAGGGAAUUAAUCCGACUUUCGCCGGGCUGUGCCCUACUACGGGGAAGGUUGGAUACGCGUUACUCACCCGUGCGCCGGUCGCCAUCAUCGGUUGCAAGCAACCGACAUGCUGCCCCUCGACUUGCAUGUGUUAAGCCUGUAGCUAGCGUCCAUC
RNAcentral lists this ribosomal RNA (320 nucleotides) under uncultured Prevotella sp. Its description in RNAcentral is "partial 16S ribosomal RNA". The record is from RNAcentral. Lineage: Bacteria; Pseudomonadati; Bacteroidota; Bacteroidia; Bacteroidales; Prevotellaceae.